RNAcentral lists this ribosomal RNA (256 nucleotides) under uncultured bacterium. RNAcentral describes it as "partial 16S ribosomal RNA". It matches the Rfam family "Bacterial small subunit ribosomal RNA", at positions 524 to 776 of the family's 1533-position model. The record is from RNAcentral.
UACAGAGGUCUCAAGCGUUGUUCGGAUUCAUUGGGCGUAAAGGGUGCGCAGGUGGGCGCGGCAAGUCGGAUGUGAAAUCCCGGGGCUCAACCUUGGAACUGCAUUCGAUACUGCCGUGCUAGAGUGCUGGAGAGGAGAUUGGAAUUUACGGUGUAGCAGUGAAAUGCGUAGAUAUCGUAAGGAAGACCAGUGGCGAAGGCGGGUCGUCGUGGACAGUUCCUGACACUGAGACACGAAGGCCAGGGGAGCAAACGGG